RNAcentral lists this ribosomal RNA (536 nucleotides) under Micrococcus sp. RNAcentral's name for it is "bacterial SSU rRNA". It matches the Rfam family "Bacterial small subunit ribosomal RNA", at positions 901 to 1435 of the family's 1533-position model. Lineage: Bacteria; Bacillati; Actinomycetota; Actinomycetes; Micrococcales; Micrococcaceae. The record is from RNAcentral.
UCAAAGGAAUUGACGGGGGCCCGCACAAGCGGCGGAGCAUGCGGAUUAAUUCGAUGCAACGCGAAGAACCUUACCAAGGCUUGACAUGUUCUCGAUCGCCGUAGAGAUACGGUUUCCCCUUUGGGGCGGGUUCACAGGUGGUGCAUGGUUGUCGUCAGCUCGUGUCGUGAGAUGUUGGGUUAAGUCCCGCAACGAGCGCAACCCUCGUUCCAUGUUGCCAGCACGUCGUGGUGGGGACUCAUGGGAGACUGCCGGGGUCAACUCGGAGGAAGGUGAGGACGACGUCAAAUCAUCAUGCCCCUUAUGUCUUGGGCUUCACGCAUGCUACAAUGGCCGGUACAAUGGGUUGCGAUACUGUGAGGUGGAGCUAAUCCCAAAAAGCCGGUCUCAGUUCGGAUUGGGGUCUGCAACUCGACCCCAUGAAGUCGGAGUCGCUAGUAAUCGCAGAUCAGCAACGCUGCGGUGAAUACGUUCCCGGGCCUUGUACACACCGCCCGUCAAGUCACGAAAGUUGGUAACACCCGAAGCCGGUGGCC